RNAcentral lists this ribosomal RNA (373 nucleotides) under Bacillus sp. (in: firmicutes). RNAcentral describes it as "bacterial SSU rRNA". It matches the Rfam family "Bacterial small subunit ribosomal RNA", at positions 60 to 419 of the family's 1533-position model. Lineage: Bacteria; Bacillati; Bacillota; Bacilli; Caryophanales; Bacillaceae. The record is from RNAcentral.
AGUCGAGCGAAUGGAUUAGAGAGCUUGCUCUCAAUGAAGUUAGCGGCGGACGGGUGAGUAACACGUGGGUAACCUGCCCAUAAGACUGGGAUAACUCCGGGAAACCGGGGCUAAUACCGGAUAACAUUUUGAACUGCAUGGUUCGAAAUUGAAAGGCGGCUUCGGCUGUCACUUAUGGAUGGACCCGCGUCGCAUUAGCUAGUUGGUGAGGUAACGGCUCACCAAGGCAACGAUGCGUAGCCGACCUGAGAGGGUGAUCGGCCACACUGGGACUGAGACACGGCCCAGACUCCUACGGGAGGCAGCAGUAGGGAAUCUUCCGCAAUGGACGAAAGUCUGACGGAGCAACGCCGCGUGAGUGAUGAAGGCUUUC